This 443-nucleotide ribosomal RNA is filed under the name uncultured bacterium. RNAcentral describes it as "partial 16S ribosomal RNA". It matches the Rfam family "Bacterial small subunit ribosomal RNA", at positions 28 to 507 of the family's 1533-position model. The record is from RNAcentral.
GAUGAACGCUGGCGGCAUGCCUAACGCAUGCAAGUCGAUCGGUAAGGCUCUUCGGAGUACACGAGAGGCGGACGGCUGAGUAACGCGUAGGAACACACCCUGCAGUGAGGGAUAAGACACCGAAAGGUGUUCUAAUACCGCAUACGGUCUUCGGAUUAAAGCAUUUAUGCGCUGAAGGAGUGGCCUGCGUCAUAUUAGAUAGUUGGUGAGGUAAUGGCUCACCAAGUCGAUGAUGUGUAGCUGGUCUGAGAGGAUGAUCAGCCAGACUGGAACUGAGACACGGUCCAGACUCCUACGGGAGGCAGCAGUGAGGAAUAUUUCACAAUGAGCGAAAGCUUGAUGGAGCAAUGCCGCGUGCAGGAUGAAGGCCCUCGGGUUGUAAACUGCUUUUAUAAGAGAAGAUUAUGACGGUAACUUAUGAAUAAGGGACGGCUAACUACGUG